UUAAUAAUCCAUGAAGCACUUCAUCCAGUAGCUUUUCUCUCCGUGACAACAAAAGCAGACUUUUAUUAUGUUGUUAGCAGUUAGUAGAGUAGGCGGGGAGGAGCUGAGUAAAUUUAUUCUGACGUCACACGACAGCAUUUCGACUAGGAGCAGGGUUUCAGUCACGUGAUUAUGAUGACGCGCGAGGGCGGGAAGAAGGCAGAUGGAGGGCAGGAAGUAAACAUGGAGAAUACGUCUAUAGAGGAAACCGUUGCAGAGAGUCAGUAUUGUACGGAUUUAGAUCCAGUUUCAAGACAUAGAUACAAGGAGUUAAUUGACAGAUAUGUUGGACGUGACCCGUACCUCAUGAAGAUGAGUGAGUUUUCAGUAGAACUGAAAGAUUUACCGACAGUUGAGGCUAUCUGGUCCUUCAGACAUCGUACUACACCAGACAGCAAAUGAAGGCCUAUAAAAGUCUGGAGGCUUACAACUUUUUUUGUCAACGGGUGGGUCCACAACCUCGGUGUCAAACGGCUCCACGAUGAUCAUCGUUUGGUCUUCGCCAGAGUAAACACUCUCAGAGGUCAAGCGAAACACCUCUGAAGACCUGGAUUAUUGCGAAGGAGGAUGGAGAAGUCAUUGCACACACACACACACACACACACACACACACCGUACUGCUAGCAUACUGUGUACUUCAGAACCAGCGGAGAGAGAGCUUUAAGGAAUAAACGUGUUGAUUAAUGUAAAGUGCUACUCCAUCCAUAUUAGUAUAAACUAUCAGAAUCGUGUCCUCAUGUAGGGGCAGUUCUUUUUUCCAUUGAAGUUGGGGUAAAGAUGCGAGAUUCAGCUUCCUGCACAACAGAGCAGUGCAAGUGGCUGAUGCCAUCACAUGUAAAAAAGUUAUGGAUGCAAACAUGAAGCACAAGCCAGAGGAGCAUAUGAGAAGCUGAUGGUUCGGGAGCAUGCAGGCUUCUCCUGUAUGGACAGUGGUCUCUGGCUGAACCCCAAGUGGCCAUACAUGGGGUCCUCCCCUGAUGGGAUUGUCACGGAACUGGCAUCUGCGGGAUUAAGUGCCCACACUCUCACCAAGAUGAAGCCAAUCUGAGCAUGUGUGCAGGGGAAAAGAGUUUCUGCCUCAACAAUGAUGGGGAUAAUGUUAAACUGGACCGAAGUCAUGACUACUACUACCAAGUUCAGGCACAGCUUCACAUUGUAGAUGCUAAGUACUGUGACUUUGUUGUGUGGAACUGUAAUGACAUUAUUUUGGAAAGGAUUUUGCCUGAUUUUGAACUUUGGGAUGAUGUGAUUCCUAAAGUUGAGUGCUUUUUUAGAAACUGUAUACUUCCAGAAAUACUGGGACAGCAAGUUACAAACUUACAUGUGUAAAAUAUGAUGAAACAUUAUGUACUUAGUUCUAGGCACUCUUGAAAGUGGGCUGUGUGAUACAUUGCUGUUAUAUCAAUACUGUUGUAUGAGACAUGACAUUUUGAAUAUUGUUAUGAUUAAAUGCUAUUGAGAAUGCAGAAUAAUACCUUUUAAGUUGAAUUACUGAAAUAAAUGAACUUUUGCA
This is a long non-coding RNA of Cyprinus carpio (common carp), 1552 nucleotides long. RefSeq lists it as uncharacterized. The record is from RefSeq and is a predicted model, not a curated record. The transcript has 5 exons. Lineage: Eukaryota; Metazoa; Chordata; Actinopteri; Cypriniformes; Cyprinidae.